CGUAGAAAAUGGUGAAAUUACCUUAUGUGUGCUAUAAGAACAAAAUAUUGAUAACUAUGUGUGACGUUUCUAAGGGGGGGGGUCUCCAGAGAAACGAACAUAUGACGAUUCUCAUGGACAAAAUCGAUAUGUGAGGCUUCCCUUAUAGUGGUAUCACAGAUAUUCAAUGGCUUAUUUUUUGUCCUGACCCGUGCAAGAACUUUUAAAAAAGCUAGGGUCGGGUGCGCGAUAGCCAACAGCAAAAUAUUCGCGAAAACAUUCAAUAUUUUCAUUCGAGGCCGCUAUCUUUAUCAGUGAUACCACUAUAACCACAAUGGAAAGCGCUACGAAAACGUAAUAAGGGGAAUCUAGAAUUGCAAAAUAUUAUUUGAGAUUUCGAGCUCUUAAAUAUCAAGUUUUAAAACUAUUUUACUAACCUUUUUCAGU
Molecule: non-coding RNA, 426 nt
Organism: Paramuricea clavata
Lineage: Eukaryota; Metazoa; Cnidaria; Anthozoa; Malacalcyonacea; Plexauridae
Source: the annotation of a GenBank genome assembly